GGGGAUGUAAUGGUUUCGACGGGGAUUGUGAGCCUUGGUAAGCGAGCAGCGGUGCGGACCGCUUUAACACCCGCACGUUUAAAAUUAAACGACAAAAAUGUUUCUUACAACCAAAAUUCUUAUAGAAUGGCGGUUGCAGCCUAACAAUUAGACUGCCGUCUUUACCGGGAGUACCGCGGCUCGGAUAAAGGCGUAGAUUAGCGGUGAACGUGAACCGGGCGACGCCUUUGACCCGGUCAUGACGUAAAGGCUGCCAAUGCGCAGAGCCUGCCGAUGGGCGCUGCGCGUGCGGGACAAUAUAAAUCAUCGGAUACGCUCGUAGAAAGCCCUGGCAAGUGAUUUUCGGACAGGGGUUCGACUCCCCUCAUCUCCACCA
RNAcentral lists this transfer-messenger RNA (376 nucleotides) under Yeguia hominis. Its description in RNAcentral is "Standard tmRNA". It matches the Rfam family "transfer-messenger RNA". Rfam says of the family: Bacterial tmRNA, also known as 10Sa RNA or SsrA, is named for its dual tRNA and mRNA-like properties. Its role is to liberate the mRNA from a stalled ribosome. The record is from Rfam by way of RNAcentral. Lineage: Bacteria; Bacillati; Bacillota; Clostridia; Eubacteriales; Yeguiaceae.